UAGGGAAUAUUGCAAAAUGGGCGCAAGCCCGAUGCAGCAACGCCGCGUGGGCGAUGAAGGCCUUCGGGUCGUAAAGCCCUUUUUGAGGGGAUGAGGAAGGACAGUACCCUCAGAAUAAGCCUCGGCUAACUACGUGCCAGCAGCCGCGGUAAAACGUAGGAGGCGAGCGUUAUCCGGAUUUUCUGGGCGUAAAGCGCGUCCAGGCCGAUUGGAAAGUUGGAUGUAAAAGCUCCCUGCUUAACUGGGAGAGGUCGUUCAAUACUUCCAGUCUUGAGUGCAGUAGAGGGAAGUGGAAUUCCGGGUGUAGUGGUGAAAUGCGUAGAUAUCCGGAGGAACACCAGUGGCGAAAGCGGCUUCCUGGACUGUAACUGACGCUCAGACGCGAAAGCUAGGGUAGCAAACGG
This 404-nucleotide ribosomal RNA is filed under the name uncultured bacterium. RNAcentral's name for it is "bacterial SSU rRNA". It matches the Rfam family "Bacterial small subunit ribosomal RNA", at positions 355 to 775 of the family's 1533-position model. The record is from RNAcentral.